This 75-nucleotide transfer RNA is filed under the name Candidatus Doudnabacteria bacterium RIFCSPHIGHO2_01_FULL_45_18. RNAcentral describes it as "tRNA-Val". It matches the Rfam family "tRNA". Rfam says of the family: Transfer RNA (tRNA) molecules are approximately 80 nucleotides in length. Lineage: Bacteria; Candidatus Doudnaibacteriota. The record is from RNAcentral.
GGACGGUUAGCUCAGUGGGAGAGCAUCUCUUUGACGUAGAGAGGGUCGCUGGUUCGAUCCCAGCACCGUCCACCA